GGAGUUAGCCGGUGCUUCUUCUGUGAGUGAUGUCCUUCCUGCCGGCUAUUAACCCGCAGGCCUUCUUCCUCACUGAAAGUGCUUUACAACCCGAAGGCCUUCUUCACACACGCGGCAUGGCUGGAUCAGGGUUGCCCCCAUUGUCCAAUAUUCCCCACUGCUGCCUCCCGUAGGAGUCUGGGCCGUGUCUCAGUCCCAGUGUGGCUGAUCAUCCUCUCAGACCAGCUACGGAUCGUCGCCUUGGUGAGCCGUUACCUCACCAACCAGCUAAUCCGACAUAGGCUCAUCCGAUAGCGCGAGGCCCGAAGGUCCCCCGCUUUCCCCCGUAGGGCGUAUGCGGUAUUAGCCUGGGUUUCCCCAGGUUAUCCCCCACUACCGGGCAGAUUCCUAUGCAUUACUCACCCGUCCGCCGCUCGCCACCAGGGAGCAAGCUCCCCGUGCUGCCGCUCGACUUGCAUGUGUUAGGCCUGCCGCCACGCGUCAAUACUGAGCCGAGAUACAAACUACUGA
RNAcentral lists this ribosomal RNA (510 nucleotides) under uncultured bacterium. Its description in RNAcentral is "partial 16S ribosomal RNA". The record is from RNAcentral.